RNAcentral lists this ribosomal RNA (450 nucleotides) under uncultured bacterium. RNAcentral's name for it is "partial 16S ribosomal RNA". It matches the Rfam family "Bacterial small subunit ribosomal RNA", at positions 354 to 796 of the family's 1533-position model. The record is from RNAcentral.
GUGGGGAAUAUUGCACAAUGGGCGCAAGCCUGAUGCAGCCAUGCUGCGUGUGUGAAGAAGGCCUUCGGGUUGUAAAGCACUUUCAGCGGGGAGGAAGGCGGUGAGGUUAAUAACCUCACCGAUUGACGUUACCCGCAGAAGAAGCACCGGCUAACUCCGUGCCAGCAGCCGCGGUAAUACGGAGGGUGCAAGCGUUAAUCGGAAUUACUGGGCGUAAAGCGCACGCAGGCGGUCUGUCAAGUCGGAUGUGAAAUCCCCGGGCUCAACCUGGGAACUGCAUUCGAAACUGGCAGGCUAGAGUCUUGUAGAGGGGGGUAGAAUUCCAGGUGUAGCGGUGAAAUGCGUAGAGAUCUGGAGGAAUACCGGUGGCGAAGGCGGCCCCCUGGACAAAGACUGACGCUCAGGUGCGAAAGCGUGGGGAGCAAACAGGAUUAGAAACCCUUGUAGUCC